Non-coding RNA from Myotis davidii, 75 nucleotides. NCBI's taxonomy places the organism in Eukaryota, Metazoa, Chordata, Mammalia, Chiroptera, Vespertilionidae. The record is from Rfam.
GGUAGUUCUCUGGUGACGCACCCAGGGAUCAGGCUCCCUCCUCUCUGGUUCUGGGUGCAUCACCCGAGAACUGCA